GCCAUCAUGGUGCAGUGGUUUGAGUGCUGGACUAUGACUCUGGAGACCAGGGUUCAAUUCCCCAUUCAGCCA
Molecule: transfer RNA, 72 nt
Filed under: Phrynosoma platyrhinos (Desert horned lizard)
Lineage: Eukaryota; Metazoa; Chordata; Lepidosauria; Squamata; Phrynosomatidae
Description: tRNA-OTHER
Source: RNAcentral